UACGGAGGGUGCAAGCGUUGUCCGGAUUUAUUGGGUUUAAAGGGUGCGUAGGCGGCCCGUUAAGUCAGUGGUGAAAGCCUCCAGCUCAACUGGAGAACUGCCAUUGAUACUGACGGGCUUGAGUACAGACGAGGUUGGCGGAAUUGAUUGUGUAGCGGUGAAAUGCAUAGAUACAAUCAAGAACACCGAUUGCGUAGGCAGCUAACUAGGCUGUAACUGACGCUGAGGCACGAAAGCGUGGAGAGCGAACAGG
RNAcentral lists this ribosomal RNA (253 nucleotides) under uncultured bacterium. RNAcentral describes it as "partial 16S ribosomal RNA". It matches the Rfam family "Bacterial small subunit ribosomal RNA", at positions 524 to 776 of the family's 1533-position model. The record is from RNAcentral.